AUCUAUGGCCAUGCCACCCUGAAUAAGCCUAAUAUCUGAUCUUGGAAGCUAAGCAGGGUUGGGCCUGGAUAGUACUUUGAUGGGAGACCACCUAGGAAAACCAGGUGCUGUAGCCA
RNAcentral lists this ribosomal RNA (116 nucleotides) under Pteropus alecto (black flying fox). RNAcentral also lists the same sequence under 1 other name. The record is from RNAcentral. Lineage: Eukaryota; Metazoa; Chordata; Mammalia; Chiroptera; Pteropodidae.